AUUGAACGCUGGCGGCAGGCCUAACACAUGCAAGUCGAGCGAAGCGGCGGACGGGUGGGUAAUGCCUAGGAAUCUGCCUGGUCGUGGGGGAUAACGUCCGGAAACGGGCGCUAAUACCGCAUACUAUCAGAUGAGCCUGGGGGGGAUUAGCUAGUUGGUGGGGUAAAGGCGUACCAAGGCGACGAUCCGGGAAUGGGCUGAGAGGAUGAUCAGUCACACGGGAACUGAGACACGGUCCAGAGUCCUACGGUAGGCAGCAGUGCAGAAGUGUGGACAAUGGGAGAAAGCGUGAUACAGUCAUGCAGCGUGGGUGAAGAAGGUCUUCGGAUUGUAAAGUAGUUUAAGUUGGGAGGCGUUACCAACAGAAUAAGCACCGGCUAACUACGUGCCAGCAGCCGCGGUAAUAC
Molecule: ribosomal RNA, 407 nt
Filed under: uncultured bacterium
Lineage: Bacteria
Description: partial 16S ribosomal RNA
Rfam family: Bacterial small subunit ribosomal RNA
Source: RNAcentral